GACAAACGCUGGCGGCGUACCUAAGACAUGCAAGUCGAACGGGACUGACCGCUUUCGAGUGGUGAGUCGAGUGGCGGACGGGUGAGUAACGCGUGGGAACCUGUCGCGCGGUGGGGUAUACCGCCGGGAAACCGGCGCUAAUACCGCAUGCGCUCUCAUGGAAAUGAGAGCAAAGCAGCAAUGCGCCGUGUGAGGGGCCCGCGUCCGAUUAGCUGGUUGGUGGGGUAAUGGCCUACCAAGGCUGCGAUCGGUAGCUGGUCUGAGAGGAUGGUCAGCCACACUGGGACUGAGACACGGCCCAGACCCCUACGGGAGGCAGCAGUUAGGAAAUUUUUCCAAGUGGGGGAAACCCUGAGAGAGUAACGCCGCGGUGGGGAUGACGGCCUUC
RNAcentral lists this ribosomal RNA (388 nucleotides) under uncultured bacterium. RNAcentral's name for it is "bacterial SSU rRNA". It matches the Rfam family "Bacterial small subunit ribosomal RNA", at positions 28 to 419 of the family's 1533-position model. The record is from RNAcentral.